Dermochelys coriacea (leatherback sea turtle) is the source of this 5379-nucleotide long non-coding RNA. RefSeq lists it as uncharacterized. The record is from RefSeq and is a predicted model, not a curated record. Lineage: Eukaryota; Metazoa; Chordata; Testudines; Dermochelyidae. The transcript has 3 exons.
GCUAUGCGGGCACCCGCCUGACGUUUUUAUCCCGGAUCGAACGAGGGGAAGAGCGUGGUCAUGGAUCAGCAGGAGGAAGAGGGAGGCUGGAAUGCACCUCGCAUGGCUCUCCAGAACCCUCCAGUCUUUCCCAUACGCUCUCUCAAAGCAUUACCCUGGGGCAGGGCUCCAACCCAAGCAAGGGUGCAGGCCUGAGCAGAACUGAGGAGGAGCAGCAGCAGGAGGAAGGUCCUGAGAACUUGGAGCCACAUGGGACUUUACCGAGUAGGUCGGAAGAGAGAGUUUUUCCAGAGCCCCGAGCAGGAAGAAACUUGCCAGAGGCAGCGCAGGUCACUGAGGCUGCAGCGAAUCUCAGGGGGGAAUGAGCCAGCUACCCCAAGGGACUGUGAAGGGGUGGCCAGGAACCUCCGAGGCUCCCUACGCAGGGAAGACCAAAGACGAGCCAGAGCCCAGCUGCAUGUCACAUGUGUGAACUCAGCUUCAAGGAGAGAGAGACCUUAGCAGACACAAGUGCAGCGUCCACAAGAUAAAGGAUCCACACCAGUGCCAAAUGUGUGGGAAGUGCUUCCGGCUACGGCAGGACCUCAGGAGGCACCAGAGGAUCCACACGGGGAGAAGCCCUAUCUCUGCACUCAUUGUGGGAAGAGGUUCAGCCAGACCGCCAAUCUCUGCACCCACAAGAAGAUGCACAGAGGGGAGCGGCCGUACCCCUGCACCACCUGUGGCAAGAGCUUCCGGCAAGAAGCAGCAGCUGGUGUCGCACAGCCGGAUCCACACGGGGGAGCGGCCCUACCCCUGCACGCAGUGUGCCAAGAGCUUCCGCUGGAAGCAGGCGCUCAGGGUCCACCAGAAAAACCCACGUGGGAGAAGGUGACUCUGAGGGGAGCCAGGCCAAAGGGCGGGUCUUCACCUGCCCCAAGUGCAAGGCCGUCUUUGCUCACAGGCACGACUUCCUAAUGCACCGGCGAGCGGCACACCAGCGAGCGGACCUACCAGUGUGCCGACUGCGGGAGGCGCUUCAGACCAGCGGCAGCAGCUGAUUCCGCACCGCCGGAUCCACACUGGGGAGCGGCCCUACAACUGCCCACUCUGCGGGAAGAGCUUCCGGCCAGGCAGGAGCUGACCACGCACCAGAGAAUCCACACGGACGAGAGGCCUUCCGCUGCCCCGAGUGCCCACUCAGCUUCAGGGAGAAGCAGAAGCUGAGGAGACACCAGAGAAUCCACCACGGGCGAGAGGCCCUAUGCCUGCCCGAGUGCGAGAAACGCUUCCGGCAGAAGCAGCAGAUGGUGUCCCACCCUCCGGAUCCACACGGACGAGCGACCCUAUGCCUGCACGGAGUGCGGGAAACACUUCCGGCGGAAAGACUCCCUCGCCAAACACCAGAGAACCCACCAAAGGGUGCAGACAUAGGGCUUGUCUACACUACCACUUAAGUCAAUGUAACCUAGUUGCUCGGGGAUGUGAAAAAGCCCCCCCACAUACACACACACAAGCGACGCAAGUUACAUCGACUUAACACGGUGUGGGCAGCGCUUUAUGUCGGCGGGAGACACUCUUCCGCCGACAUAGUUUCCUCCUCUCGUUGAGAUGGAGAAAUUACGCCAACAGGCGAGCACUCUCCUAUGGCACAGUGCAUCUUUGCCGUAUGCACUACAGCAGCGCAUGGUAGUGUAGACUAGACCAUAGUCAAUGCAGUUGUCCUGCCCCAAACUCCCUCCUCGCUUCCCCCGUGGAGGGGAAACUGUUUCCACAAGGACUCGGAGAAACCACCCCUGGAGCCAUCACCCCUUCAUAGCUCCCGGCAGAGAACGGAGGGGAAGAAACACUACAGACACACACUCCACACCGGAGAAGGUGAAGGAGCUUCACCUCCAUUCCCUCAAAGGGUCCAGGCAGCCACAGUCUCACAGCACUUAUUGUUUCUUUGAUGUAUUUGAAUCAUUAUAGAGGGCCUUGUCCUUCCCAUGAACCCCCAUAAAGUCCUUCUGUUCUCUCCUCUGUGUAGUUGUCCUAGGACAGGCAGGAUUUCUGAGCUCUCUAUAUUUCAGCUGCCCUGUAAAGGGCAGGACGUUUGGGUGUAUGUGAGGUGCCCUGUGUGGUGGGAGAGACAUAUGCAGGUGAAAACCAUGACAUGGUGCAGUAGUUUAAUGGAUUCAUGGCGCUGAAGGCCAGAAGGGACCAUUAGAUCAUCUAGUCUCACCAUCUGUCUAGCACAGGCCAUUCAAUUUCACCCUGUUACCCCUGUAUUGAACCCAGUCACUUGUGUUUGACUAAAGCAUUUUCCAGAAAGGAAACUGUGAUGCCGGCAGACCCAGGUCAUCGGCGGGCGGGAUUGAACCAGGGAUCUCUGGAGCUUAGUGCAUGAGCCUCUACCACAUGAGCUGAAAGCCAACUGGCUGCUAGCUAAGGCUGUAGAGCAGACUCAUUAAUUUCUCUCUUUCUAAGUGGUCUAGGUGCCACUAGAGGGGACACAACACCACACCCAGGAGGUGUGUGGGUUACACAACCAGUCUUGUUCAAGAGAUGGAGAAUCCACUCUUUUUUUCCUGGUAGUUUGUUCCGGUGGUUAUUCAUCCUCACUGUUAGAAACAUGUGCCUUAUUUCUAACUUGCCUUCAGCUUCCAGCUCUUGGUUCUUGUUGUGCCUGUCUCCGCAAGAUGAAAGAGCUCUGUGGUGCCUGGCAUUUUCUCCCAAUGAAGGUAAUUCUACAUUGUGAUCAUGUCACUUCUCAAUCUUCUUUUUGAUAAGCUGAACAGAUGGAGCUCUAAGUCUCCCAUCGUAAGGCAUUUUCCCCAGCUCGUGAAUCCUUUCCCUGUCUGUCUUCUGCACCCUCUCUAAUUUUUCAACAUCCUUUUUAAAAUGUGGACACCAGAACUGGAGGCAGUAACCCAGUACUAGUAGUCUCCUCAGUGCUGAAUACAGAGGUAAAAUCACUUCCCUGCUUCCCUCUUUGCACACCCAGGAUCACGUUAGCCCUUUUUUGCCACAGCAUCGGACUGGGAGCUCGCAUUGAGUUACUUGUCCACUAGGACUCUAAAUCCUUUCCAGAUUCAUUGCUUUCUGGGACAAGUCCCCUAUUCUGUAGGGAUGGUCUGCAUUCCUUGUUUCUAGAUAUAUAACUUUGGGUGUGGCUGUAUUAAAAUGCAUUGUGUUUGAAUGGACCCAUUUUACCUAGCAAUCCAGAUUGCUCUGUAUGACUGCCCUGUCCUCAUUAUUAUUCCACACUCUGCUAAUUAUUGUGUCACCCACAGAUCUGAUCAGCGGUGAUUUUAUAUUUAUGUCCAGAUCACUAAUGAGCGUGUUAAAUAGCACUGGGCCUAGUGCCAAUCCCUACAGAACCCCACUAGAAACACUCCCCUUCAGUGAUGAUGGUUCACCAUUGACAACUACUUUUUGAGCUCUGUCAGCUUGUCAGUUCUUAAUCCUUUUAAUUGGCAUUUUAUUGCUAUCGUACAGUGCUAAUUUUGUAAUCAGAAUGUCGUGGUACUAAGUCAACCCUCUUACAAGUCUAUUAUAUGUAGAAUUAACUUUGUCAACCAAACAUGUAAUCUCAUCAGAAAAUGACGACAUGUUUUUUAACAAGACCUAUUUUCCAUAAAACCAUCUUGACUGGAAUUAAUUAUAUUCCUACUAUUUGAUUCUUUAUCAACUGACUCCUGUAUCAGCUUUUCCAUUAUUUUGUCCAGGAUUCACAUUAGGCCACCUGGCCUGUAGUGCCCUGGGUCAUCCCCUUGCCUCUUUGAAUAUUGGCACAACGUUACCACUCCUCCAGUCUUCUGGAAUUUUCCUGGUAUUUCAAGAUUUAUUAAAAAUUAACCAUCAGCGACCAGACCUAGGUGUCUUGGGUGCAAUUAUUUAGGCCUGCUUAUUUAAAAUGUUUAUCCCUAGGAGAUAUUGUUACAUUCUCUUUGGUUACUAAUGGUUGGAAAGUACUCCAUCAUCCUCAUAUGAUAUGAGUACAUCAUCCUGCUUCUUUCCAAAUACAGAACAGAAAAUUUAUUAACAUUCUGCCUUUUUUGCAUCAUUAUUAGCCAUUUUAACAUCUCCAUCAAGUAAUGGCCUAUACUAUUGCUAGAAUUUCUUGUUCUUAAUACACUUAAAAAAACUCCUUGUCCUGAUUCGUGCCAGCUCUGGAUGUUUCCCAAAUGUUUUUAGCUUCCCUUAUCAAUUUCUACACUUCAUAACUUCUAAUUUGCAUUGAUUGCUAUCUAGUCCCUUUUUUUCCAUUUGUUAUACUGUAUAUUUUUUUAUUGGCUGCCUUCAAUUCACCCCUGAACCAGGAUGGCCUUUUAGCCAAAGUCGUCAUCUUUUUGAUUGUAGAAUUGUGGCUUUUGGCCAACUAAUAAACUCUUCUUAAAGAACUCCCAAUUUUCCUUCACACUUUUCUAUCUAAAUUUUUCAUCACAAUCAAUUUCCUUUAGUCUAGGGAAAAUUAGCCCCUUUGAAGCACCAAGCCUAUAUCUUAUAAUAUAUGGGACUAUAUUGGGAAUAUAUAUAUUACAAUAAGUUGGGACUGUAAUGUGCAUGACCAUGUGAUCUUAUUGUUCCCCUCAUCCCCAUAUCUCCGUCUUCCCUCCUAUUGUUUUUUAUACUUAUGUUUUGUUUCCAAUUAGAUUGCAAGCUCUUUGGGGCAUGGACUCUCUCUCUCUCUGUUUGCAUAGCUCUAUGCACAGUGUGGCCCUGAUCCGGACUCCAGCCUCUGGGUGCUACCACCUUAUAAAUAAUAAUAAUGAAAAGAUGAUUUCUCCAAUGUAAUCUGGAGGUCGGUGCUCAUCUGACAGAAAGCGUCACAGUCUGGCAGAGCUGUGCAAAACUGGUGAAAAAUGUCUCUGUGAAAUCUUGCAGAAACAUUUUUGUGUGAUCUUGGGCUUCUCAUAUUUCACUUUUCCACUCAUCUAGACCAUGCCUAAAUAUUGCUUUUUCUUUCAUAAAAUUUAAAAGUUUUAAAACCUUUCUGUUUUAUCCCAUCAUCUGAAACUCUCAUCUGUGCUCCAAUAUUCUCCAAUCCUGAUUACCACAGUCUUCUCCAUUUCAGCUUCCACAAUGCCUUAUUGGCCCUUUCCAAUUCAUCCAAAAUGUAGCUGCUAUGGGCCAGGAAGGAAAGCACUGUCUUUGCUUCUGGAAAUGAUCAUGAAAUUGCCAGAGUAUUCCUUAAAUAUUAAAAUACAGGCCUCACAAGGAGCUUUUCAUAGAGAACGACUUCGGGGAGUGCCUAUAAAUUGUGAAAGCCUGGAGCUGCAGGAGUAUGAAGUAAAUAUGCCUCAGCUACUUCUGGAAAUAAAACUGUCACCAGAAUAAUGAAGUGAGCUGUAGCUCACGAAAGCUUAUGCUCAAAUAAAUUUGUUAGUUUCUAAGGUGCCAAAAGUACUCCUUUUC